AAUCUUUAUACAUAAGACAUCUCGUUGAUUUAGUUUAGUGAUGUUUAUUAAAUUGUACGAAUAUGCCUUAUUUUCUUAAGUAUUUCAAUGUAAAAUUACAUAUAAAUACAAAACAUUUUGGCAAGACUCUUGAGAGAAUAGGACAAGCUGAAGACUGCAGGCUGAAGCUAUUCCCUAAAAAAGCGAGCCAACAAUACGCAGUAUUGUAAAUAAAGAAGCCAGUAA
This is a non-coding RNA of Staphylococcus sp. HMSC078E07, 225 nucleotides long. The record is from Rfam. Lineage: Bacteria; Bacillati; Bacillota; Bacilli; Caryophanales; Staphylococcaceae.